Molecule: ribosomal RNA, 460 nt
Filed under: uncultured bacterium
Lineage: Bacteria
Description: partial 16S ribosomal RNA
Rfam family: Bacterial small subunit ribosomal RNA
Source: RNAcentral
CCUACGGGUGGCAGCAGUGAGGAAUAUUGGUCAAUGGACGAGCGCCUGAACCAGCCAAGUAGCGUGAAGGAUGACUGCCCUAUGGGUUGUAAACUUCUUUUAUAAAGGAAUAAAACGAGGCACGUGUGCCUUUUUGCAUGUACUUUAUGAAUAAGGAUCGGCUAACUCCGUGCCAGCAGCCGCGGUAAUAAGGAGGAUUCGAGCGUUAUCCGGAUUUUUUGGGUUUAAAGGGAGCGUAGAUGGGUUGUUAAGUCAGUUGGGAAAGUUUGCGGCUCAAACGUAAAAUUGCAAUUGAUACUGGCAGUCUUGAGUACAGUUGAGGUAGGCGGAAUUCGUGGUGUAGCGGUGAAAUGCUUAGAUAUCACGAAGAACCCCGAUUGCGAAGGCAGCUUACUAAACUGUGACUGACAUUGAUGCACGAAAGUGUGGGUAUCAAACAGGAUUAGAUACCCGUGUAGUC